CCCCUCUCAGGAUGGCACCUGGAGGGUUCCCAGUACUCUACCAGUCUCGGCUAUGGGAGGGACAGUCAAGCAGAAGCCUACCCAUUCCAUUCCUAGCUUGGCCAGUGGCUAGUGAGUGGAAGGCAACCUGCCGCAAGU
RNAcentral lists this small nucleolar RNA (138 nucleotides) under Ornithorhynchus anatinus (platypus). Lineage: Eukaryota; Metazoa; Chordata; Mammalia; Monotremata; Ornithorhynchidae. The record is from RNAcentral.